CAGAGAGCUGAGCUUGUGGAGUCAGAAAGUCUCCAACAGAGUUUAGCAGUCACCUGGUUCAGUAGGCUCAUGGGUUCCCCAUCAAUCUUCUGGGGAGCCUUUCAAAAUAAGGACUCUGGGUUUCACUCAGAAAUUUGGGUUCAGUGUUAAAAGCUCCCAGGUGAUUUCCACAGACUGCUGUGUGGUAUCCACUUUAGAGCAAACUUUCCUUUUACAGACAAAGGAACUGGGUCAGUAGAGUUGACUUUUUCACAUGCUGGGUACUCUAAAUGAGAUGCCUCUGUUCAAGCGUCUCCCUUUGGAAAUUGCAUGACUGGGGUCAAGGGUGUAGCUUAGUGGUAGAGCAUGUGCUUAGCAUGCUGAGGCCCUGGGCUUGAUCCCCAGCACAACACAAAAAAAUUUCCAUGCUCAAAACAUGGUGUGACCCCUUUUUUACACUGUUUUCAGGACACAUGGGAUUCUUUUAACUAUUCUUUAAAAAAAUAGGUUAACAGCACACUUCUGAGAGGAGAAAAGAGUGAUAAAAUAAUUUGUUAUAUGUUUCUGAAAUAUCUGUUGACCAAAAAAGGUUUUAUUAUAUUGGUGGAGUACUAAAAGCUAUUAUUCUUUUAAAAUAUUUCUAAAAAUUAUUUCUAAUAAACUCAACACGUAUCCUUGUAUAUUGG
This 665-nucleotide long non-coding RNA is filed under the name Marmota monax (woodchuck). The record is from RNAcentral. Lineage: Eukaryota; Metazoa; Chordata; Mammalia; Rodentia; Sciuridae.